CGAGCCGGGCGGACGGCCGCGUGGGGUUCCACCAGGAACCUCCCGAGGAACGUCCGGGCUCCACAGGGCAAGGUGGUGGCUAACGGCCACCCGGGGUGACCCGCGGGACAGUGCCACAGAAAACAGACCGCCGGAGGCUUCGGCCCCCGGUAAGGGUGAAACGGUGGUGUAAGAGACCACCAGCGCCUGAGGUGACUCAGGCGGCUAGGUAAACCCCACCUGGAGCAAGGUCAAGAGGAGCCGCCUCUUCGGAGGCGACUCUGCGCGGACGACCGAGGGCUGCCCGCCCGAUGUCCGCGGGUAGACCGCACGAGGCCGGUGGCAACGCCGGCCCUAGAUGGAUGGCCGUCACCCCGACGACCGCGAGGUCCCGGGGUACAGAACCCGGCGUACAGCCCGACUCGUCUG
Molecule: RNase P RNA, 408 nt
Filed under: Streptomyces sp. SID5785
Lineage: Bacteria; Bacillati; Actinomycetota; Actinomycetes; Kitasatosporales; Streptomycetaceae
Description: Bacterial RNase P class A
Rfam family: Bacterial RNase P class A
About the family: Ribonuclease P (RNase P) is a ubiquitous endoribonuclease, found in archaea, bacteria and eukarya as well as chloroplasts and mitochondria.
Source: Rfam by way of RNAcentral